This 253-nucleotide ribosomal RNA is filed under the name uncultured bacterium. Its description in RNAcentral is "partial 16S ribosomal RNA". It matches the Rfam family "Bacterial small subunit ribosomal RNA", at positions 524 to 776 of the family's 1533-position model. The record is from RNAcentral.
UACGGGGGGAGCAAGCGUUGUUCGGAUUUACUGGGCGUAAAGGGUGCGUAGGCGGCUUUGUAAGUCAGUGGUGAAAUAUGGCAGCUCAACUGUCAGGGUGCCAUUGAUACUGCGGAGCUUGAGUACAGAUGAGGUAGGCGGAAUUGACGGUGUAGCGGUGAAAUGCUUAGAUAUCGUCAAGAACACCGAUAGCGAAGGCAGCUUACUAGGCUGUAACUGACGCUGAGGCACGAAAGUGUGGGGAUCAAACAGG